RNAcentral lists this long non-coding RNA (1417 nucleotides) under Homo sapiens (human). Its description in RNAcentral is "ATP8B1 antisense RNA 1". Lineage: Eukaryota; Metazoa; Chordata; Mammalia; Primates; Hominidae. The record is from RNAcentral.
UUUUCUUUCUUUCUUUUUUUUUUUUUUUUUUGAGUUGGAGUUUCACUCUUGUUGCCCAGGCUGGAGUGCAAUGGCACCAUCUCAGCUCACUGCCACCUCUGCCUGCCGGGUUCUAGUGAUUCUCCUGCCUCAGCCUCCCAAAUAGCUGGGACUACAGGCACUUGCCACCACGCCUGGCUAAUUUUUGUAUUUUUAGUAGAGACGGGGUUUCACCAUGUUGGUCUGGCUGGUCUUGAACUCCUGACCUCAGGUGAUCCACUCACCUCAGUCUCCCAAAGUGCUGGGAUUGCAGGCGUGAGCCACUGUGCCCGGCAGGGAAUUUCACUUUAAUUUUGGUCAAGUAUCAUGAGUUUAGUACCUUCUGAUUCAAGGCAGAAGGCACUUAAGCUCAAUCCUCAACAGCUUGAAAUCAAAACCAGAAACCCACUCUAAGAGGUAAUCCAUCUAAAUGUUUGCUAUGGAAAGGUAGCGGACACACAACAUACAGGAGUCAAUGGCCUCCCCACAUUUGGGUGAGAUGGGGCUCGCGGGGUGCAUGCACUCCCCACACUGAGAAUCUCCCCACAGGCAGAUUCUGUGACCAGAACAGGAAGAAUCAUUGCAGAAAUGGGAUUUCAUGCAUAUCACAUCUUCUACAGGUUAAAAUUAUUAGAAAAAAAUAGCUCAUCCAGAUAGCAGAACCCAAGAAAGAGAAACUAGAGGGGGGGUUUGGCAUGGGGGAAAAAGAGGCUUCUAGAAAGCCUUCAAGGGCAGAAUGGCAGUAACAGAGACCUCGGGAAAACCAGCUAAAAUCCGAGGCUUCUCUGACUAAGGCUGCAGGGAGGCGUGUCUGGAGCGCUGAAACCAGAACACUAUGAUAAUGAUUUCUGUGAAUGUGAUGCUAAGGUUGUUCGGCUAGAAUUUUAGGGAACACCAUGGAGGAAAUAUUUUCAGCCUGAUAUCAAAUCUGGGGUCCAGAGAGAAAAGUCUCAGCUUGCUCAUGGAGAAGAGCUACAAGAGAAGCCCACAUCUGUUUGCCAGGGUGGGAGAACCAGCAGGAGAUGAAAUAGAAAAGCCACAAAAGAAAAGGCAUCAUGAACUUGUCAGAUAUGCUCUCCCAGCCCUUCUUACUAAGGACAAUGGGUACUUGUCCAAGCCCAUCCACCAUUCUGUCAGUCGCAUCCUAAGAAGAGAUCAGAGAAGAUUCUCUCCUAGACCACGCAAAAUAGACCGAUCAUCUUUGGCACGUGUGGCCAUGACCCACAUGAGGAUUUAUAAGCGACCUAGUCACCGGGACUUCAUGUGGUUACCUUUUCUGAAUGGCUCCCGGUUCUCCUCUGCUUCCCUGUUGACUCGGUUUUGUUCUGGUUCAACAGCAGACCCCUGGUCAUCAAGUUCAUCUUCUGUUUCAUCAUCACUGUAGGGAACCACUUCGUCA